RNAcentral lists this ribosomal RNA (644 nucleotides) under Agroathelia rolfsii. RNAcentral describes it as "eukaryotic LSU rRNA". It matches the Rfam family "Eukaryotic large subunit ribosomal RNA", at positions 1 to 625 of the family's 3401-position model. Lineage: Eukaryota; Fungi; Basidiomycota; Agaricomycetes; Amylocorticiales; Amylocorticiaceae. The record is from RNAcentral.
CCAUUUGACCUCAAAUCAGGUAGGACUACCCGCUGAACUUAAGCAUAUCAAUAAGCGGAGGAAAAGAAACUAACAAGGAUUCCCCUAGUAACUGCGAGUGAAGCGGGAAAAGCUCAAAUUUAAAAUCUGGUAGUCUCUGGCUGCCCGAGUUGUAAUCUGGAGAAGUGUUUUCUGUGCUGGGCCGUGUACAAGUCUCUUGGAAUAGAGCGUCAUAGAGGGUGAGAAUCCCGUCUUUGACACGGACAUCCAGUGCUCUGUGAUGCACUCUCAAAGAGUCGAGUUGUUUGGGAAUGCAGCUCAAAAUGGGUGGUAAAUUCCAUCUAAAGCUAAAUAUUGGCAAGAGACCGAUAGCGAACAAGUACCGUGAGGGAAAGAUGAAAAGAACUUUGGAAAGAGAGUUAAACAGUACGUGAAAUUGUUGAAAGGGAAACGCUUGAAGUCAGUCGCGUCUAGCAAGGAUCAGCCUUUCUCGGAAGGUGUAUUUCUUGCUUGACGGGUCAACAUCAAUUUUGAYUACUGGAAAAAGGCCAGAGGAAGGUGGCACCUUCGGGUGUGUUAUAGCCUUUGGUCAUAUACAGUAGUUGGGAUUGAGGAAUUCAGCAUGCCUUCAUGGCUGGGGUUCGCCCACAUUCAUGCUUAGGAUG